This 254-nucleotide ribosomal RNA is filed under the name uncultured bacterium. RNAcentral's name for it is "partial 16S ribosomal RNA". It matches the Rfam family "Bacterial small subunit ribosomal RNA", at positions 524 to 776 of the family's 1533-position model. The record is from RNAcentral.
UACGUAGGGUGCAAGCGUUGUCCGGAUUUAUUGGGCGUAAAGAGCUCGUAGGCGGCUUAGUAAGUCGGGUGUGAAACCUCCAGGCUCAACCUGGAGACGCCACCCGAUACUGCUGUGGCUAGAGUCCGGUAGGGGAGCGUGGAAUUCCUGGUGUAGCGGUGAAAUGCGCAGAUAUCAGGAGGAACACCAGCGGCGAAGGCGGCGCUCUGGGCCGGUACUGACGCUGAGGAGCGAAAGCGUGGGGAGCAAACAGG